GACGAACCGAGCGAACGUUGUUCGGAAUCACUGGGCUUAAAGGGCGCGUAGGCGGGCGAUCAAGUCGGUGGUGAAAUCCUACAGCUUAACUGUAGAACUGCCUCCGAUACUGGUUGUCUCGAGGAAGGUAGGGGCGUGCGGAACAGUUGGUGGAGCGGUGAAAUGCGUUGAUAUCAACUGGAACUCCGGUGGCGAAGGCGGCACGCUGGACCUUUUCUGACGCUGGGGCGCGAAAGCCAGGGGAGCGAACGGG
This 253-nucleotide ribosomal RNA is filed under the name uncultured bacterium. RNAcentral describes it as "partial 16S ribosomal RNA". It matches the Rfam family "Bacterial small subunit ribosomal RNA", at positions 524 to 776 of the family's 1533-position model. The record is from RNAcentral.